Molecule: ribosomal RNA, 407 nt
Filed under: uncultured bacterium
Lineage: Bacteria
Description: partial 16S ribosomal RNA
Rfam family: Bacterial small subunit ribosomal RNA
Source: RNAcentral
AUUGAACGCUGGCGGCAGGCCUAACACAUGCAAGUCGAGCGGAGCGGCGGACGGGUGAGUAAUGCCUAGGAAUCUGCCUGGUAGUGGGGGCUAACGUCCGGAAACGGGCGCUAAUCCCGCAUACUUUCAGAUGAGCCUAGGUCGGAUUAGCUAGUUGGUGGGUUAAAGGCCUGACAGGGCGACGAUCCGUAACUGGUCUGAGAGGAUGAUCAGUCAAACGGGAACUGAGACACGGGCCAGACUCCGACGGGAGGCAGCAGUGGGGAAGAUUGGGCAAUGGGCGAAAGCCUGAACCAGCCAUGCCGCGUGUGUGAAGAAGGGCUUCGGAUUGUAAAGCACUUUAAGUUGGGAGGCGUUACCAACAGAAUAAGCACCGGCUAACUUCGUGCCAGCCGCCGCGGUAAUUC